Aethalodelphis obliquidens (Pacific white-sided dolphin) is the source of this 376-nucleotide long non-coding RNA. RefSeq lists it as uncharacterized. Lineage: Eukaryota; Metazoa; Chordata; Mammalia; Artiodactyla; Delphinidae. The transcript is spliced from 5 exons. The record is from RefSeq and is a predicted model, not a curated record.
GGAGUGCAGCAGGGCCAUGGUGGGCGGCGACAGGGCAAUGGGUAGCUGGAGGACGGAGCGGAGAUGCCAGCGGGCACGGACACGGAGGCGCAGGGUCCUGCUGAAGUUUCGGAGGGCUCAUCUUCAACAAGACCAUAUCCAAGCAGCAGUUCAAAGGAGUGGACAUAUUUAACCCAUCGUAUGUGAUCAGUUUGGAGGAGAAUUGACAUCUUAACAACAUUGAGUCUUCUGACCCGUGACCAAGAGAUCAGUCUUUUUAAGAGUGGUGCAUGGAACUGAUUCUGACUUUGAAGCUUCUAAGACCAUGGGAUUUUCUGAAGUCAAAGGACGACUGAUUUGGAGAGCCCAAGAGCCACAACUACUGAGCCCGUGCGCC